CCUACGGGAGACAGCAGUAGGGAAUCUUUCACAAUGGGCGAAAGCCUGAUGGAGCAACGCCGCGUGCAGGAUGAAGGCCUUCGGGUUGUAAACUGCUUUUAUAAGCGAGAAAUAUGAUGGUAACUUAUGAAUAAGGAUCGGCUAACUACGUGCCAGCAGCCGCGGUCAUACGUAGGAUCCGAGCAUUAUCCGGAGUGACUGGGUGUAAAGAGUUGCGUAGGUGGCAUAAUAAGUAGCUAGUGAAAUCUGGUGGCUCAACCAUUCAGACUAUUAGCGAAACUGUUAAGCUCGAGACCGUGAGGGGUAACUGGAAUUUCUAGUGUAGGAGUGAAAUCCGUAGAUAUUAGAAGGAACACCAAUAGCGUAGGCAGGUUGCUGGGACGGUUCUGACACUAAGGCACGAAAGCGUAGGGAGCAAACGGGAUUAGAUACCCCUGUAGUC
Molecule: ribosomal RNA, 442 nt
Filed under: uncultured bacterium
Lineage: Bacteria
Description: partial 16S ribosomal RNA
Rfam family: Bacterial small subunit ribosomal RNA
Source: RNAcentral